AAGAGUUAGCUUGGGGGAAAAUAGCUGCCCGAGUCAAUGCGUGCAAUCCUGCAGGCAUAAAAAGAACGUGGCAGCAGCUAAAAAUGAAAUAUAAAAACAUAAUUCAAACAGCCAACAGAAAGAAGGCAGAGGCCAGAAAAACUGGUGGAGGCCCUGCACCACCACCACUGACACAUGCAGAGGAGA
Monopterus albus (swamp eel) is the source of this 186-nucleotide long non-coding RNA. RefSeq lists it as uncharacterized. NCBI's taxonomy places the organism in Eukaryota, Metazoa, Chordata, Actinopteri, Synbranchiformes, Synbranchidae. The transcript has 3 exons. The record is from RefSeq and is a predicted model, not a curated record.